CCUACGGGAGGCUGCAGUGAGGAAUAUUGGUCAAUGGACGAGAGUCUGAACCAGCCAAGUAGCGUGAAGGAUGACUGCCCUAUGGGUUGUAAACUUCUUUUAUAUGGGAAUAAAAUGUUCCACGUGUGGGAUUUUGUAUGUACCAUAUGAAUAAGGAUCGGCUAACUCCGUGCCAGCAGCCGCGGUAAGACGGAGGAUCCGAGCGUUAUCCGGAUUUAUUGGGUUUAAAGGGAGCGUAGGUGGAUUGUUAAGUCAGUUGUGAAAGUUUGCGGCUCAACCGGAAAAUUGCAGUUGAAACUGGCAGUCUUGAGUACAGUAGAGGUGGGCGGAAUUCGUGGUGUAGCGGUGAAAUGCUUAGAUAUCACGAAGAACUCCGAUUGCGAAGGCAGUUCACUGGACUGCAACUGACACUGAGGCUCGAAAGUGUGGGUAUCAAACAGGAUUAGAUACCCUUGUAGUC
This 460-nucleotide ribosomal RNA is filed under the name uncultured bacterium. RNAcentral's name for it is "partial 16S ribosomal RNA". It matches the Rfam family "Bacterial small subunit ribosomal RNA", at positions 338 to 795 of the family's 1533-position model. The record is from RNAcentral.